RNAcentral lists this ribosomal RNA (491 nucleotides) under uncultured bacterium. RNAcentral describes it as "partial 16S ribosomal RNA". It matches the Rfam family "Bacterial small subunit ribosomal RNA", at positions 29 to 506 of the family's 1533-position model. The record is from RNAcentral.
AGUGAACGCUGGCGGUAGGCCUAACACAUGCAAGUCGAACGGCAGCACAGUAAGAGCUUGCUCUUACGGGUGGCGAGUGGCGGACGGGUGAGGAAUACAUCGGAAUCUACUUUUUCGUGGGGGAUAACGUAGGGAAACUUACGCUAAUACCGCAUACGACCUACGGGUGAAAGCAGGGGAUCUUCGGACCUUGCGCGAUUGAAUGAGCCGAUGUCGGAUUAGCUAGUUGGCGGGGUAAAGGCCCACCAAGGCGACGAUCCGUAGCUGGUCUGAGAGGAUGAUCAGCCCCACUGGAACUGAGACACGGUCCAGACUCCUACGGGAGGCAGCAGUGGGGAAUAUUGGACAAUGGGCGCAAGCCUGAUCCAGCCAUACCGGGUGGGUGAAGAAGGCCUUCGGGUGGUAAAGCCCUUUUGUUGGGAAAGAAAAGCAGCAGGUUAAUACCCCGCUGUUCGGACGGUACCCAAAGAAUAAGCACCGGCUAACUUCGU